GGGCCAUAUUUCAUAGAGUCCCUGCUAUGGAUCAGCAGUCUCUGCAUCCCUUUUCUCGGAGAAUUCCAUAUGAAAGUGUCUGUAAGACAUUUUGAGUGGCAUUGCUUCUGUCAAACGGCUGAUUGAAGGAGACACAGAGAGAAAUGCUGUGCUAAUGAAAUCGUCUGACCCACAUCUUUUAGUGCUAUCCAUUUCUCCAAAGACACAGAAAGGGCAUUUAUACAGGUAAACCAUGACUGGUCCCUGAAGUGAAAGAAGGGGGUUUUUCAGAAGGAAGAGGAGCAUCCAUUAUUUACUAUACUGGGGUUGCUAGACACUUAGGAGAUAAUGCAGUGCUUCAAGCAUACAAAACAUAGAGACUCCUUGGUGCUGGGGAGGCCAUUGUUGUGUGUUUUGAACAUGUCUGUUUCCAUCCAUACUGACAGAUGAAAAGGAAUAUGUCUCCCUCAGGUUCAGAAGCAUGGACAUAGAUGGAUAGAGAAGGAAGGAGAAGGAGAGGAUUGGAUGUGUUUGUCUGUCAGUCAUAUUUCUGUGCAUGUAGGGUAUCCAUAUAUGUUCGUUUAUGUGUUGCUCCAAGUCUGUUUUUUGGCCUUUGCAUGUACAGCAGAAGGCUUCAAGACCUUCUCCAGUCCUAAAUUAUAUAAUGUAAAUGAAGUAUUCUUACAGAUACAGUGAGAGCAUGUGUUUGUUACUGUAUGCAUUAAUGCAUGUGAAUGCAUCAAGUUCCUGCACCGAGUCUGUUUAAGCAGUCUCCCCCAGCUCAGACAGGCUUCAGUCAAGCCUUAUUCUCUGCAGAUCAGCAGCAGCAUCAGUUGCCUCCUCAUGGCGAGAGGAGGCAUCUGACUGUGGUCUACUGGGAGUAGUUAGCAGAAGGAGAGCAAGGCAUACAACUCCUCUACCAUGUUAUCAGACUUGGGGCAACACCAAGCUCUACUUUUUGCCUUUGUCAAAUUUCCCAAGGGAGACUUUGACAUGAAAUACUUUUAUGUGGAUGACGGGAGACCACUCCCAAAUAUUUCAGUAUUUUUCUGCAUAAAUGCGCAUUGUGAUGGAGAGCAUGACAACUAUCCAUGUUUGCAGAUCUGCUCUGGGAAAAUCUGGGUCAGCUGGCAUUUAGGAAUCUCAAGAAUUAGAGUAGCAAAGACUGUACAUGUUAGUUUAUUUUACACUUAAAUUCUGAAUAUGAGUCUGAGGAUAUGUUGAAAUUUAUCUGAUUUAUCUUUAAAAAAAAAACAGCCUUAGUCUGUCUUAUAUACUUUGAUUCUCAUUGUGCAUCAUAAUAUCUUCACCAGCUUAAGAUAGGCACAGGCUUUGUAGACAUCUAAAAAUGCAAAAAAGAUUAUAGACAACCUUUUUUUCCUUUUGUUUCUGAUACACUGUCGGUUUAAUGUAGGUGCUGUCAAAAGCUUUCCUAAUACCAGUGUACAUUUAUACGGGUAACAUUACAUAUAGUAGAUUUCUUAAACUAAAAGGUUGAAAGCAAAAACCAUAAAAGAUAUGCCCAAUUUGUGAGAGGUUACUUUAAAAAACACUGGAUUAAAAUCUCUGUUAUUCUGAUAGAUACUGCGCUUCAGUCAGGUGUCAUUAAUAUUUGACAUUUGAGGGCAUAAAUUGCAAUUACUACAGUGAGCAGGUGUUCAGUAAUUGACUUUUGAUGGAGCUAGAGCUAAAAACAUGGGUACUCUUUAUCCAAAUCAAAUGAAUGAAAAUAGUCCCACGUCUCUUUUUUUCUCUCUUAUAUUGUAUUUACUGUCGUUUUUUCUCAUGUAUUGUAUAGCAAGCCUUUUUUAAACAUAACACAAUUCAGUCCUGGAUUUAGGUUGCUGCGUUGCAUUAGAGGUAGUGGUGUUUUGAUAUGAUCGUCACAGGCUGAUGCUUGUACUUACAGGCCUGAUCAAAAAGAUAAAUGAUGAUUAUAACAAUUACAGAUUGCUGGACAGAAAGUCAGAAGGCCCUUAUAGCAACAAUAAUAAUAAUAAUAGUAAUAAAAAAUAAAAUGCUUAGCAAUUUUGAUUCUCAUUUGUCAUUAUAAUUAUCAUAUUUAUAUUGUUAUAGUUUAUCAAACCUACUUUGUCCUGAGCCGUUAUUGGUCGACCACAACUCUGCAUGUUCGUAAAUUGCUUUAAUAUCAGUGAGAGAAUAACAGCUACACUCUUUAUGUGCUUUAAUCGGGGUCAUAAGAAUUACUGCAACUAUUCUAACUAUAAAGAGCAGAUCUUUGUGGUCACAAACCUUAUUUAAUGCAACAAAAUUAUCACUCACUGAGGGCCUUGAACAAAGCCUUGAGCUCACGCACGGAGAAACACACGCUCUCACACACAUUGCGGACGACCCCAUAUACUGGUUAUCAAUCUGCGGUGUCAGCAGAGAGGAUGAGGAGGAUGCAGAGAGGGGCACAUGUAGCUUUGACUAAGAUCAGCUACCACGGAUAGACAAGCAGGCCUGGCAGUGCAGUGUGUGCCCUUGAGGUGCUGCAAGCAGGCAGAGGUUUGUGCUUGAGUUGUCUGAAUCCACCUCCCUUCAUCUUUUCAAGUUUGGCUGUUGAUGGCCCUGGGACCUCCUGCCAACCCUGAACUGCUCUUUUCUGUCAACCAAACAUCAGAGAAAUUUGUGGAAAGAGGCAGCCUGGCCAAAACACUACUUUUGUACACUCUGAAUUCCUGGAAAAAGAAAAAAAAAGAAACAGAAUUUGCCGGCUUAAAAUGACUUGCAAGUGACACUUCAAUAUCAAGAGAUUUGAAGUGUCUGGAAAUAUAAAUCAGUCAUUAUAUUUGGAGUAAAGCUUUGGGAAACACUACAUUAAAGUCAUGGGCAGAUUAGGGAUCAGUGACAGAAGAAAAGGCUGGGCAAAAAAACAGAAAUUUACCGAUACCAAAAUUUGCGUCAAUGACCCACAUCAUUUUGCCCUUAUUGGUAUAUUUGGUGUCAAAAUAAAAGUUGGUUUUGGAUGUGUGUAGGUAGGCUAUGGUCUCAUGUCCCUUUAAGACACUGGCCUAUGUUGGAGACAUGACUCUAAGUAGACAAAGUCAAUGUGGGAGGAGGUGAGCAGCUUGUGGAGUAGUUAUUGUCCAUUUAUCGUUAUGGAGGUGAACUGCUCAAUAUAUCGUGAUACUGAUUUGAGGCCAUAUCGCCCAGCCCUAACAAAAGAUUUCGCCAAUGUGAAGGAGAUGUUUCAGAGAUGUUCCAACAACAAAUUAAAAUUUGGUCAGAAAACUGUAAAUUAUCAGUCAAAAUUCAGGAUAAAACCAAAAUUGUAGAUCCCCCAGCAAUUGGCUGCAACCAUGUGACUAGUUUGUCGUGACUCUCACCAGAAACUACAAUUUAACCGCUGUAAAAAAUCUACAGAUUUUUGUUCACUUUUCUGCAGUCAGCAGCACUAAAUAACACUGUAUGACUAACAGAUAAUGUUACAUCAAGCAGUUUCACAAUAAUAAAAGCACCUUUUUCCACUGCUGUCUGUUUGCUUGUCCAAGCAUUAGUGUAAACUUUGUAGGCACUCAGGUUAGCAUUACUUUGACUGUCCUUGUUCUUGAGGUAUUCUACUGGAGUUGAAUUAAACAGAGAGGUCUGACCUGGUAAUGAAAAUAGGUCAAUACCAAAUAAAGCAGCUUGAAAAAUGUAAGGCACCAUCAAAGUUCCUGAGCAAACACAAGAGAAAGAGAGAGAGAUCUCAAAAAAUGUCCUACAUGUGGGACUUUUAAAUCCUAGAUUAUUUCUGCAAAAUAAAAAGAGGUCUUCAGUCAUUUGCUUACUGAACCAGCCAAAACAAACAGAUAGCACACUG
Non-coding RNA from Xyrichtys novacula (pearly razorfish), 3784 nucleotides. Lineage: Eukaryota; Metazoa; Chordata; Actinopteri; Labriformes; Labridae. The record is from the annotation of a GenBank genome assembly.